ACUUGGGUCUUGCCAUCUGG
This 20-nucleotide small nuclear RNA is filed under the name Arabidopsis thaliana (thale cress). RNAcentral's name for it is "snRNA_16217". Lineage: Eukaryota; Viridiplantae; Streptophyta; Magnoliopsida; Brassicales; Brassicaceae. The record is from RNAcentral.